Molecule: long non-coding RNA, 2150 nt
Organism: Bactrocera neohumeralis
Lineage: Eukaryota; Metazoa; Arthropoda; Insecta; Diptera; Tephritidae
Exons: 4
Source: RefSeq, a predicted model, not a curated record
UCUUAAGGAAAUAUAAGCAGGAGUUUCACAAGAGAGUGUGUUGGGCCCUCUUCUCUAUAUUCAAUUCACGCACAACCUGGAAGUUGAAUUACAAAACAGCCACAUUUCUAGAUACUACCUUGUUGUUUAGUGUAGUUAGUAGUGAGCACGAAUCGACUACUAAACUCCAAAAAGCCGUGGUAAAUAAAACUCUAUGAAGCUAAGUCAAUACACAUUGUUUUCACAUGCAAUAAGAUUUUCAUAAACGGUGUACGAAUACCGUCCUGCAACUCCGCUAAAUACUUGUAAAUGACAUUUAACUCCAGCUAAGCUAGAAAGUUCUUGUAAAAAACAAAUGGAAAGAUGCGACUCAAGGAUAUUAAUUGCUCAAUUGGUAACAAAUCAGUGCUAUCCAUCAAAAAACCUGUAUGAAGCUAUUGUGCACAACUCUGGUGACGUGCUAACGCAAAUUAUAAGAAAAUCAUCCUACAAUUCCUAAACUUAAUACUAAGACUAAUUGCUGAAUGGCCUUGGUGCUGAUAUAGGGUAUAAUCUAGGCGUAAACUCGAAUAAAGCAGUACCCAGGCGUAAACUCGUAAAUAUUAAAAAUUGCAGCAGCACUUAAAACAGUGUUGCUAAACCAUUGUAACAAAGAAGGAGCCAUGUUAACUUCUAGAAGUGGACCACCGAAACAACUCAAAUGCCUCAAAACCCAGCGAUAUUUCAAACUAUUCCAUUAAAUCAUUUUAAAGUUGCUUGUUAGUUUCUCUCGAAACUUUGCAAUAAGAGUAUGCAACUGUCCAAGAACCUACAUACAUAUUGUAUGUACAUUGUACAUAUACAUAUGCUACAAUGCUGGUAGAGAGGACAAUUUAUUUAAGUGAUUCUUCCUACUGCCUUAACUAACCCGUAAACGAUGUGAGAUUAAUGUGUUCCUGAAUUUCGACAAGGUACGGUGCCAAGCAUAUUGGAACCAUCUCAGUGCGCCUGUCCGGGAGCAAUGUGUUUUUCGGAAUUCCCUUUUCCCGCAUUAAAUGCUCUCUUGGUCCAUACAUUUUAGCACGUUUUAACCGAAAUCUACAUUUUAGGCUUCGGAGUUUUGUGAGUCGGCUAAAGGCGAAGAAUAGUAAUUGGUAACCAACCGAUACAGGAGUACUAUAUCAAAUCGAACAUUUUAGUGUUUGAUUCGCUUGCUCUCCUAACGGAAGAACAGUCAACAAGCGUAGCCAAGUAGAGUGCGAGAACUCCUACAAACCGUCGACGUGGUCGUUCUUAAUACGCACUUAUAGCGUAUUGAAAAUUCUAAUUCAGUGACUUAAGAUAAUUUAUUCUAAAGAAGGUGAAAAUUCUUAUCUGGAAUAAAUCUUAUUAACUUGUUUAAAACAAGUGGCAAAUAUAAAAGUUUGUAAAAUAAUAUUACAAUUGUUAACGAAAAAAACUUAAGAAACAGUUAUUAAUCCUGAAAAGUUAUUAAGCAUAUAUAAGUACGUAUCUCCUUACAUUGUCUUAUAUCCUAAAUACAUUUACAUAGGUUCCAACUUGCCAAUCAAAUAUGUGAUUAUUCGGACUUUCAAAUUACUGCAGCUUUCAGAAAUUAUAUUAAAUAUUAAGUGCGAUGAAGUUUGAGUGAAAACUGCUCCAAAUAUUGACCGAAUUCGGGAAGUAUUGGAACUUUUAAAAUAAAUAAGAAAUUAUUGACUUUUCGAGUCUAUAAAGAAGUUGUUCUACAACAUUCACACGUACAAGUUAACUCCAAAGCAUUUUAAGGAUAAGCUGAUGCAUGUAAGAGAUAAAUAAUCUAUGGUUACAACUCCAAGGUUUUAGCUCUGCAGCAUAUAUAGGAGGUGGCAAAUAAUUCGGUCAACCGACGUACUUUUUGGGAUCUCCAGGAGUUACUGUUAUUUGCUAUACAGUCAUUGACCAAAUAUAGGAAACUAAAGAAAGACAAUUCCAGACGUAAAGUUAAGCUGCGUUUACUGCCGAAAUAGAUUUUCUUAAGUGUGCCAUCGCGAUGGCUGCUCCAGCAGCCUGUACGCGUUUUUCCGAUAAUUAUGAAAUUAAGGAGGAACUUGGAAAGGGCGCCUUCUCUGUCGUCAAACGUUGUGUUCAAAAAUCAACACAAUUCGAGUUCGCAGCGAAAAUAAUCAACACAAAGAAACUCACCGCAAGAG